CGACCUGAGCUCAGACGAGAUUACCCGCUGAAUUUAAGC
This 39-nucleotide ribosomal RNA is filed under the name Smithsonidrilus hummelincki. Its description in RNAcentral is "partial 28S ribosomal RNA". Lineage: Eukaryota; Metazoa; Annelida; Clitellata; Tubificida; Naididae. The record is from RNAcentral.